UACAGAGGGUGCAAGCGUUAAUCGGAAUUACUGGGCGUAAAGUGUGCGUAGACGGUCAUGUAAGUCGGGUGUGAAAGCCCCGGGCUCAACCUGGGAAUUGCAUUCGAGACUGCAUGGCUAGGGUGCGGAAGAGGGAAGCGGAAUUUCCGGUGUAGCGGUGAAAUGCGUAGAUAUCGGAAGGAACACCAGUGGCGAAAGCGGCUUCCUGGUCCAGCACCGACGUCAGGCACGAAAGCGUGGGGAGCAAACAGG
RNAcentral lists this ribosomal RNA (252 nucleotides) under uncultured bacterium. RNAcentral describes it as "partial 16S ribosomal RNA". It matches the Rfam family "Bacterial small subunit ribosomal RNA", at positions 524 to 776 of the family's 1533-position model. The record is from RNAcentral.